RNAcentral lists this long non-coding RNA (235 nucleotides) under Bos taurus (domestic cattle). RNAcentral describes it as "long non-coding RNA NONBTAT015598". The record is from RNAcentral. Lineage: Eukaryota; Metazoa; Chordata; Mammalia; Artiodactyla; Bovidae.
GGGUGGGGGUGGCAAAAAACAGCGAAAAGCAAUUCUUGUAAACUUAGUUAAAGCAUUCUCACCCUUUUAGAAUUUAAUUAGGGGACUUGUGCAUUAAUUACUAUUGUAAAUGGUUGCAGGCAUUGUGUGACUCAUGAUUGAGGCGGCCCUUAUGGCGGGCUGUCAAACUGUUUUGGCUUCCCCGUUAUUACUUUGUAACUCAAAUUGUUGCCUUUAUAAAAAGAUACUAUGUCUU